Molecule: transfer RNA, 72 nt
Filed under: Trichonephila clavata
Lineage: Eukaryota; Metazoa; Arthropoda; Arachnida; Araneae; Nephilidae
Rfam family: tRNA
About the family: Transfer RNA (tRNA) molecules are approximately 80 nucleotides in length. Their secondary structure includes four short double-helical elements and three loops (D, anti-codon, and T loops).
Source: Rfam by way of RNAcentral
GGUUCGGUGGUCUAGGGGUAUGAUUCUCACUUGGGGUGCGAGAGGUCCCAGGUUCAAAUCCCUGCCGAACCC